This 363-nucleotide unclassified non-coding RNA is filed under the name uncultured bacterium. RNAcentral's name for it is "contains 16S-23S intergenic spacer region". The record is from RNAcentral.
UCCCCGUUACCGGGGCAGUCUAGCCAGAGAAAUCCAACUGACUAUAGGGGUUGCGCUCGUUGAUGGACUUAACCAAACAUCUCACGACACGAGCUGACGACGGCCAUGCAACACCUGUCACUGCGUUCUCGAGAGCACUCUUUCCUUUCGGAAAGAUUCGCAGGAUGUCAAACCUGGGUAAGGUUCUUCGCUUAUCAUCGAAUUAAACAACACGCUCCACCGCUUGUGCGGGUCCCCGUCAAUUCCUUUAUGUUUUAAGCUUGCGCUCGUACUCCACAGGCGGGAUGCUUAACGCGUUAGCUUCGCUACUACACGGGUCGAUACGCAUAACAGCUAGCAUCCAUAGUUUACGGCGUGGACUAC